UGUAGGAGUGAGCCUGCUCGCGAUAGCGUUGUGUCAGCCAACAGUGAUGCUGCUGAUGCACCGCUAUCGCGAGCAGGCUCGCUCCUACA
RNAcentral lists this unclassified non-coding RNA (89 nucleotides) under Pseudomonas frederiksbergensis. The record is from RNAcentral. Lineage: Bacteria; Pseudomonadati; Pseudomonadota; Gammaproteobacteria; Pseudomonadales; Pseudomonadaceae.